RNAcentral lists this ribosomal RNA (253 nucleotides) under uncultured bacterium. RNAcentral's name for it is "partial 16S ribosomal RNA". It matches the Rfam family "Bacterial small subunit ribosomal RNA", at positions 524 to 776 of the family's 1533-position model. The record is from RNAcentral.
UACGUAGGGUGCGAGCGUUAAUCGGAAUUACUGGGCGUAAAGCGUGCGCAGGCGGUUCGUUAAGUCAGAUGUGAAAGCCCCGGGCUCAACCUGGGAACUGCAUUUGAAACUGGCGGGCUUGAGUGUGGCAGAGGGGGGUGGAAUUCCGCGUGUAGCAGUGAAAUGCGUAGAUAUCAGGAGGAACACCGAUGGCGAAGGCAGGUCUCUGGGCUGACACUGACGCUCAUGCACGAAAGCGUGGGGAGCAAACAGG